AUGUAUGUGUUUAUUUCCACUUUUGAUCUCCUGAUCAGUCUUGACGUGUUCUUAUUGAAGUCAAUUAAUCAUAUGUUACUAAUACUGUAGGUUACGAAGGGACUAUUGAGAGGGCUUAUUGUAGUUGCUGAUUACUGGUCAUGUGACUAUUGAGAGGGAUUAUUUGAAUGUUAUCCAAAAGACAACACAGGAUAUCCAUGUAUGUUGAUGAUGAUGAUGAUGAGGGUAGGAGCCGGUCUCUUGUCAGAUAACCAAAAGAUUACCUUAUCAUCUGUGUAACAAGAAAUACGCGAAAGUUAGAACAUGGACGUGUUAUCAAGUGAAACUCUAUGCACUGAUCAAAAGUGGUAUGCUAUCACCAGAGGUAGUCAUUAUAAAAAAUCUUGAUCCUGAAGUUGUAGUCGGUGGCAGGGAUGCUUUGACUGAGUACAAUUCUAAAGCUUCAAGUCUGAAAACAAGAUUGAAGUGUAUGAGCUUUUCAAGGACAUGUGCAAGUGGUUAGGGUCAUUAGAAAUUGGAUGCUCUAGCACUACUGUUGUAAGUAUUCAUUGUUUGAUAACAAGUCUGU
Long non-coding RNA from Erigeron canadensis, 568 nucleotides. RefSeq lists it as uncharacterized. The transcript is spliced from 4 exons. The record is from RefSeq and is a predicted model, not a curated record. Lineage: Eukaryota; Viridiplantae; Streptophyta; Magnoliopsida; Asterales; Asteraceae.